UGUGUGCGUGUAUGUCUUUCUUUAAUUUGUAACAAAGCCUUAGAGACAGAUGCAAACAGUAAAUCCUCCUUGGCAACCCAGACCUCACUGCUAUGAGAUUUUGGUACAUGUAAGAAGGAAUAUG
This is a small nucleolar RNA of Dipodomys ordii (Ord's kangaroo rat), 124 nucleotides long. The record is from Ensembl. Lineage: Eukaryota; Metazoa; Chordata; Mammalia; Rodentia; Heteromyidae.